RNAcentral lists this ribosomal RNA (327 nucleotides) under Nitrospirota bacterium. RNAcentral describes it as "bacterial SSU rRNA". It matches the Rfam family "Bacterial small subunit ribosomal RNA", at positions 1 to 296 of the family's 1533-position model. Lineage: Bacteria; Pseudomonadati; Nitrospirota. The record is from RNAcentral.
UUUAAUUAAAUGAGAGUUUGAUCAUGGCUCAGAACGAACGCUGGCGGCGCGCCUAACACAUGCAAGUCGAACGGGGUACUUAGAGCAGAUCACUUCGGUGUGAAGCACUUUGCUACCUAGUGGCGGACGGGUGAGUAACACAUAGGUAACCUGCCCUUAGGAUUGGGAUACUCCCGGGAAACCGGGCACAAUACCGGAUACCAUUGCAAAAUUAUGUUUUGUAAUGAAAGCUGCGAGCAAUCGUGGCACCUAAGGAUGGGCCUGUGGCCUAUCAGCUUGUUGGUGAGGUAAUGGCUCACCAAGGCUAAGACGGGUAGCCGGACUGAG